GACGAACGCUGGCGGCGUGCUUAACACAUGCAAGUCGAACGGAAAGGCCCUGCUUUUGUGGGGUGCUCGAGUGGCGAACGGGUGAGUAACACGAGAGUAACGUGACCUUGACUUUGGGAUAACUUAAGGAAACUGGGGCUAAUCUCGGAUAGGAGCUCCUGCGGCAUGGUGGGGGUUGGAAAGUGUCGGCGGUUGGGGAUGGACUCGCGGCUUAUCAGCUUGUUGGUGGGGUAGGGGCUUACCAAGGCUUUGACGGGUGGGCGGCCUGAGAGGGUGACAGGCCACGUUGGGACUGAGAUGCGGCCCAGACGCGUACAGGAGGCAGCAGUGGGGAAUAUUGCACAACGGGCGGAAGCCUGAUGCGGCGGCGCCGCGUGCGGGAUGACGGCCUUCGGGUAGUAAACCGCUUCCGCCUGUUACGAAGCGUGAGUGACGGUAAUUGGUAAAGAAGCACCGGCUAACUACGUG
RNAcentral lists this ribosomal RNA (468 nucleotides) under uncultured bacterium. RNAcentral's name for it is "partial 16S ribosomal RNA". It matches the Rfam family "Bacterial small subunit ribosomal RNA", at positions 28 to 507 of the family's 1533-position model. The record is from RNAcentral.